This 406-nucleotide ribosomal RNA is filed under the name uncultured bacterium. RNAcentral describes it as "partial 16S ribosomal RNA". It matches the Rfam family "Bacterial small subunit ribosomal RNA", at positions 30 to 526 of the family's 1533-position model. The record is from RNAcentral.
AUUGAACGCUGGCGGCAGGCCUAACACAUGCAUGUCGAGUGAGCGGCGGACGGGUGAGUAAUUUCUGGGAAACUGCAUGAUGGAGGGGGAUAACUAAUGGAAACGGUAGCUAAUACCGCAUACCAUCAGAUGUGCCCAGAUGGGAUUAGCUAGUAGGUUGGGUAACGGCUCACCUAGGCGACGCUCCCUAGCUUGUCUGAGAGGAUGACCAGCCACACGGGGACUGAGACACGGUCCAGGCUCCGACGGGAGGCAGCAGUGGGGAAUAUUGCACAAUGGGCGCAAGCCGGAUGCAGUCAUGCCGCGUGUGUGAAGGAGGCCUUCGGGUUGUAAAGCACGUUCAGCGGGGAGGCGUGACCCGCAGAAGAAGCACCGGCUAACUCCGUGCCAGCAGCCGCGGUAAUAC